This 1621-nucleotide long non-coding RNA is filed under the name Zostera marina. RNAcentral describes it as "long non-coding RNA (ZMAR_LNC000731)". Lineage: Eukaryota; Viridiplantae; Streptophyta; Magnoliopsida; Alismatales; Zosteraceae. The record is from RNAcentral.
UGAUACGUCCGUCCAUCAAUCAGACAAUCCCUGAUGAGUAAUAAUAAUUAAGGAGGCAAUGAAUAUUUUGCUGUUUGUUUAGUCGUGAAACAUCGUACUUGUUUCACGAUUGUCUGACACGUGUCUUCAGGUGAGCACAAUGUCUAUGGGCGAACAUUGAAUCUGUGGGUCAUCACAGAUCUCAAUCCCGUGGGCAGUUUCACCAUUCAACUUCUGGUUAUCAAAUACUAUAUACAAUAUUAAUACAGAAAUCUACAAAACCAUUGCCUUGUUUCUAAAUCGAAACCGGCGGCGGGCGGUGGCAACAGCAAUUCCCACCGACCAGAAGAAGAACCCAGAACUGAACAAAGGCCCAUAGUUAGACAUGUUUCGACAAAGACAUCAAAAACGAAAUCAAAACAUCAAUUCAACCAUCUUCUUCCAACUUUGACAACACAUCCAAAAUCUUUAUUCCAUAACGCAGCAAUCUUAUCGAUUUAAGAAUCCCAAUCUCAAUCUUAUACUCCACCAUGGAAGGCGGUAGUGGAGUUCAACCUAAUCUGCCGUCGGGAAUGAUGGGAUUAGAAAUGCAGCAAAUUCAACACCAUCAACAACAGCAACGUCAACGUCAACGUCAGCAACAGCAGCAAUUUCUACCAUUCUCGUCUUCUCAACAGCAGCAGCAGACACACCACGAAUCAACCUCACAGAAACACUACGCAAUGACGACGAAUAAAAUUCAACCCAAACAACUUCAACAAUCGCUACCACCGCAGCCAACAGCAACAUAAUUUAUUGCAAUAUAAAUUCAACAUAUCAAUAAUCAGGGAAAAUUUUUAUAUUUAUAAAAAAGGAAAAGGUGGAAAACGAGAUAGUGCAUAAAAUCUGAAAUAUUGGGUAAUAGACAUAGGAACUCAACAAAAAUUGACAUUAAUCGAUUUUGAUCUAAGAGAUGAAAUAUAUAGGGAAAUAGAUGAUCGAUUACAUAAUAAUAAAAAAAUUUCAUAUAGAAUACCGAAACGACAGAUUGGGUUGGGGAAGAACACACCCAAAAAAAAGAGUCUAGCCAUGAAUCAUUUAGCAAGAGAAAAUUAGGUGUGAGACAUGGAAACAAGUGAUCUUGUACCUUUACGGAAAAUAUUUGAAUAAGAUUAAACUACCGCACCUCACUUUCGACAUUGGAGACCUCGCCGGCGUCUUCCCACUGCCAUCACCACCGGUAUUCGACAUAAUGGUUGUGGUUGAGAAAACCGACAGAGAAAUAAUCGCGGAAACACUGGAGUAGAAAAAUCGCCGCAGGAAGAAAGAAAACUAGAGAGAACGAUAGAAAUGAGAAUGGGAGGUAAUGGAGUUGGAAAACCUAGGUCAAAGAUUUUAACUUUUCCUCAAUGGACGCGUCCUCAGAUCACCCAACGGUCCGCCGAACAAACCAGUGCACUCUGUACUAUCCCUUCCCGCGCAGCAAAUGGUACACGCAAUGUCAGAUUAUAUGGGCGAACGGUCGAAAUUAAUUCCAACGAAUUGGACGGCUAGGAUUAGGUUCUCAGAUAGUGCUCACAUAGGGGGUUCUUAGUAGAAGCUUUCUGUAUAUAUGUACAUAUGUACAUAAAAAUUCAAUUUUAGUUGGUGGGCUUGACGAGCA